This is a long non-coding RNA of Ipomoea triloba (trilobed morning glory), 675 nucleotides long. RefSeq lists it as uncharacterized. The transcript has 4 exons. The record is from RefSeq and is a predicted model, not a curated record. Lineage: Eukaryota; Viridiplantae; Streptophyta; Magnoliopsida; Solanales; Convolvulaceae.
AGUCUCUGUACAAUAGAAAACCCUCCGCUUCCUCAAGCCUCAGCCCUCAUUCCCUCAAGUCUGUCUGCUUCCUCAACCCUGCGCCUCUGCCUCGCCGUCGCGAUCUUGCCACCCCAGAGUUCCAGACUCCCAAGCUCUGCCUCGCCGUCGCCGAGGCACCAUCAUGUCGUCGCCAUCCAGGCUCGCCGAGUCGCCGUCGCGUCUCUUCUCUGUGUCGUCGCCAUCCAAGCUCGCCGAGUCACCGUAGUGUCUCUAAGAGGUGUAACUGAAGAAAUUUUAGGCAGCUGCAAUUGUAAAUGAACAGUGGAUUCAAAUACAGCAACUAGAGCAGGGUUGCAAGGCUUUCUGAAGCAGGCUGUGAAACAGUAUGAUUUUCCGACAGUGCUUGCUAAUGAUGAAUUAGUAUUCUUGGUGGUUAUUUAAUAUGUAUCCCACUUCUUUGUGUUUUUAUGCAAGUGAAUCUGUGAUUGCUCUUAUUAAGUUCAAAUUUGCAGGCCAGUUUGCUUGAGGUUUUUAAUGAAGAAUUGAAGACUUGACUACUUUGAGAAGUUGUUAAUGAAGAGUUAAACUUUGGAUAUUUGGGACUUUUUGAAUUUUGAACAAGCUCUAUUUAUCUAUUUAUGUAUUUUGGAUAAACAUUUGAAGUUUUGAACAAUUAACAAUAUAUUUAAAUUA